This is a non-coding RNA of Podarcis lilfordi (Lilford's wall lizard), 69 nucleotides long. NCBI's taxonomy places the organism in Eukaryota, Metazoa, Chordata, Lepidosauria, Squamata, Lacertidae. The record is from the annotation of a GenBank genome assembly.
CCCGUGGUUCAAUGGCAGAGUAUCUGAUUUGCAUGCAGAAGGUCCCAGGUUCCAUUCCUGGCAGGUAGG